This is a long non-coding RNA of Arabidopsis thaliana (thale cress), 353 nucleotides long. RefSeq annotates it as other RNA. The record is from RefSeq. Lineage: Eukaryota; Viridiplantae; Streptophyta; Magnoliopsida; Brassicales; Brassicaceae. The transcript has a single exon.
CUGGUCAAGAGUCCUAUUUUUAGAUCCGCCACCCACAUGGUUUCCGUUUUUCACUUGCAAUAUCUUAGUGAUGAUAUUGAAUAAUUUUAGGUUCGGGUUAUCUCCGACUUCUCUUAAGACUCCUCUUUUUAAGAGAGAGGGUCAGUGGCAAUGGCAAUCUCAAACCCAAAAGACAAACAAUCACAAACACAAAACACAAACAAUCACGAACCCAAACACCACACAUGCAUGGCUUCACCAAACUUAACCCGAAAGCGAUCAUGGCGGCAUUUAAAACGUUUAACAAAAAGACCUAAGAGCUGUCAUUCUAUGUAAAAAGGAAAUAUUUUAAAUUGAUCCCGAUAUCUCCAAAC